RNAcentral lists this ribosomal RNA (540 nucleotides) under uncultured bacterium. RNAcentral describes it as "bacterial SSU rRNA". It matches the Rfam family "Bacterial small subunit ribosomal RNA", at positions 77 to 600 of the family's 1533-position model. The record is from RNAcentral.
AGCUUGCUCUUAUGAAGUUAGCGGCGGACGGGUGAGUAACACGUGGGUAACCUGCCCAUAAGACUGGGAUAACUCCGGGAAACCGGGGCUAAUACCGGAUAACAUUUUGAACUGCAUGGUUCGAAAUUGAAAGGCGGCUUCGGCUGUCACUUAUGGAUGGACCCGCGUCGCAUUAGCUAGUUGGUGAGGUAACGGCUCACCAAGGCAACGAUGCGUAGCCGACCUGAGAGGGUGAUCGGCCACACUGGGACUGAGACACGGCCCAGACUCCUACGGGAGGCAGCAGUAGGGAAUCUUCCGCAAUGGACGAAAGUCUGACGGAGCAACGCCGCGUGAGUGAUGAGGGCUUUCGGGUCGUAAAACUCUGUUGUUAGGGAAGAACAAGUGCGAGUUGAAUAAGCUGGCACCUUGACGGUACCUAACCAGAAAGCCACGGCUAACUACGUGCCAGCAGCCGCGGUAAUACGUAGGUGGCAAGCGUUAUCCGGAAUUAUUGGGCGUAAAGCGCGCGCAGGUGGUUUCUUAAGUCUGAUGUGAAAG